AGUGGCGGACGGGUGAGUAACACGUGGGGAACCUAUCCAUCAGCGGGGGAUAACACUUGGAAACAGGUGCUAAUACCGCAUAUGGCUUUUUUUCACCUGAAAGAAAGCUCAAAGGCGCUUUACAGCGUCACUGAUGGCUGGUCCCGCGGUGCAUUAGCCAGUUGGUGAGGUAACGGCUCACCAAAGCAACGAUGCAUAGCCGACCUGAGAGGGUGAUCGGCCACACUGGGACUGAGACACGGCCCAGACUCCUACGGGAGGCAGCAGUAGGGAAUCUUCGGCAAUGGACGCAAGUCUGACCGAGCAACGCCGCGUGAGUGAAGAAGGUUUUCGGAUCGUAAAGCUCUGUUGUCAGCAAAGAACAGGAGAAAGAGGAAAUGCUUUUUCUAUGACGGUAGCUGACCAGAAAGCCACGGCUAACUACGUGCCAGCAGCCGCGGUAAUACGUAGGUGGCAAGCGUUGUCCGGAUUUAUUGGGCGUAAAGCGAGCGCAGGCGGUGAUUUAAGUCUGAUGUGAAAGCCCCCAGCUCAACUGGGGAGGGUCAUUGGAAACUGGAUCACUUGAGUGCAGAAGAGGAGAGUGGAAUUCCAUGUGUAGCGGUGAAAUGCGUAGAUAUAUGGAGGAACACCAGUGGCGAAGGCGGCUCUCUGGUCUGUAACUGACGCUGAGGCUCGAAAGCGUGG
RNAcentral lists this ribosomal RNA (684 nucleotides) under Tetragenococcus halophilus. RNAcentral's name for it is "bacterial SSU rRNA". It matches the Rfam family "Bacterial small subunit ribosomal RNA", at positions 94 to 764 of the family's 1533-position model. Lineage: Bacteria; Bacillati; Bacillota; Bacilli; Lactobacillales; Enterococcaceae. The record is from RNAcentral.